RNAcentral lists this ribosomal RNA (482 nucleotides) under uncultured bacterium. Its description in RNAcentral is "bacterial SSU rRNA". It matches the Rfam family "Bacterial small subunit ribosomal RNA", at positions 29 to 506 of the family's 1533-position model. The record is from RNAcentral.
UUGAACGCUGGCGGCAUGCCUUACACAUGCAAGUCGAACGGCAGCACGGGGGCAACCCUGGUGGCGAGUGGCGAACGGGUGAGUAAUGCAUCGGAACGUGCCCAGUAGUGGGGGAUAGCUCGGCGAAAGCCGAAUUAAUACCGCAUACGUACUGAGGUAGAAAGCGGGGGACCGUAAGGCCUCGCGCUACUGGAGCGGCCGAUGUCGGAUUAGCUUGUUGGUGGGGUAAAAGCCUACCAAGGCGACGAUCCGUAACUGGUCUGAGAGGACGACCAGUCACACUGGGACUGAGACACGGCCCAGACUCCUACGGGAGGCAGCAGUGGGGAAUUUUGGACAAUGGGCGCAAGCCUGAUCCAGCAAUGCCGCGUGUGUGAAGAAGGCCUUCGGGUUGUAAAGCACUUUUGUCCGGGAAGAAAUCUGUCUGGCUAAUACCUGGACGGGAUGACGGUACCGGAAGAAUAAGCACCGGCUAACUACGU